Molecule: long non-coding RNA, 1683 nt
Organism: Microcebus murinus (gray mouse lemur)
Lineage: Eukaryota; Metazoa; Chordata; Mammalia; Primates; Cheirogaleidae
Source: RefSeq, a predicted model, not a curated record
ACUAUUAAAGACGUGUUUGAGCCUAGUUAUAAUGAUUUAAAAUUCACGGUCCAAAACUGCAAUUACUUUUGCUCCAGCCUAAUACAAGUAUCGACCUCCUCUAGUGUACACUUACCCAUGGUUAAGAUCGUUUGCCAAAAUCUAUUUCUCUCCUUCUCUGUCUCUCUAUUUAUGUCUGUUUUUGCCCAUCCAGGUUUCUGUAACAGAAUACUGUAGAUUGAGUGGCUUAUAAAAAAACAUGUAUUUAUUUCUUAUAGUUCUGAAGGCUGGGAGUGUCCAAGAGCAAGGUACUGGCCAGUUUGGUGUCUGGGGAGGACCUGCUUGCUAGUUCAUUUUUCCUGGGUCCUCAUGUGGUGGCAGAAGGGCAAGGCAGCCCUGUGGGAUCUUUUCUGUAAGGUCACCAGUCCCAUUCAUGAGGGCUCUGCCCCCAUGACCUACACUUCCAAUAGGUUCCAUCUCCAAAUACCAUCACAUUGUGGGGUGGAUUUCAACAGUGAAUUUCAAGGCAACACAAAUAUUCAGUCUAUGGCUCUCUCUUUCUCUCUCCUCUCCCUUUUCACACCCACACCAAACUUGCAAACUUGUCCUGACCCUCUUCAUCCAGCACUGAGUCCAGACUUCUUAGAGUGGCCUACAGCCCUCUAGUGCUCCAUCCCCAUUUCCUUGUACUCACCCAUCCACCCUCCAAGCCUUAAAGUCUGGAUGUUUGGGUCAAGAGAAAACUCUCAAGACUCGGAAUUGUGGUUUACUGGAAAUGCAUUCAGACCUGUCCUAGCCCUUCUAGGAUCAGAUCUCUGUCUCCCAGCCUUACUUGGGGCAAAGUGGCACAGUGUGAAAAGUAUGGGAUUUGGACUUUAAAGACCCAAGUGUGAAUCAUGGUUCUGCCAUUCAUUGGCUGUGGGACCGUGACAAAUCACUAAUCUCCAAGUCUCAGCAUCCUCAUUGGUGAAAUGUGUUGGUUCCCUCACGACCUCGCAGAGCCAUGGUGAAGACCAUUUAAGCCAAUAUAUGUGAAAGCUUCGUAAAAUCUUAACUAGUCACAUGUACGUGUUAUGUGUUAUUGUCACUUCUAUCCUUUGAAGGGGCUGGAUUGAAGAUCUUUACGGGAGCCAUCCCUUCAUUUAUUUACCUAUUUGAUCUAUUUAUUAAGUCCUUCCUGUGUGCUAGGUACUGAUUUGGUUGGCAUUCUAGUUUGCAUGAUCCAAAGAAAAUUUGGAAAAGAGUUAACAGCAACCAAAAGCAGAUGGAGGAGGAGAACAGUUUGAAAAUGCUUGAAACACAGAAUAUUUGAUGUGGAGAGUUCAUCGGAUCUGGGACCCAACCAUAACACGUAGAUGAAAUUACUAUUGUUUUCUCCUGUUAAUGAAAGCAUAUGUUAUUUUUCCCUGUUCUAACUCUUAAAAUAAAAUUUGCAUUAAUAAGAUGUUUAAGUUUGAAUCCAGAAUGACUGACAGGCUCUGAAUGCAAUUUAGAGUGAUUGCAAUCCAUUGUUAACAGGCCUAGGGGAAGUAACAUUAAAAGUCAAAAGUGGUCUCUCACCUAGCAGGGCCAGGCAACUGGGUCAAACGGGCUUCAAGGAUUCUUCAAUCCCAAACCCUUCCUCUUGGAAAAUACAUAGUCACAUCACCUCCCACCCCAGCCCCUGGAAUCUUGAUUAAAGAGACUGCAGUAAUCUUCAGCCAU